ACGGGAGGCAGCAGUGGGGAAUAUUGCACAAUGGGGGAAACCCUGAUGCAGCGAUGCCGCGUGAAGGAAGAAGUUCUUCGGAAUGUAAACUUCUAUCAGCAAGGAAGAAAACGGACAGUACUUGACUAAGAAGCCCCGGCUAACUACGUGCCAGCAGCCGCGGUAAUACGUAGGGGGCAAGCGUUAUCCGGAAUUACUGGGUGUAAAGGGUGCGUAGGCGGUAAAGCAAGUUAGAUGUGAAACCUCAGGGCUUAACCCUGAGCAUGCAUCUAAAACUACUGGACUAGAGUAUAGGAGAGGAAAGCGGAAUUCCUGGUGUAGCGGUGAAAUGCGUAGAUAUCAGGAAGAACACCGGCGGCGAAGGCGGCUUUCUGGACUAAAACUGACGCUGAGGCACGAAAGCGUGGGGAGCAAACAGGAUUAGAUACCCUGGUA
RNAcentral lists this ribosomal RNA (435 nucleotides) under uncultured Lachnospiraceae bacterium. Its description in RNAcentral is "bacterial SSU rRNA". It matches the Rfam family "Bacterial small subunit ribosomal RNA", at positions 341 to 792 of the family's 1533-position model. The record is from RNAcentral. Lineage: Bacteria; Bacillati; Bacillota; Clostridia; Lachnospirales; Lachnospiraceae.